This 406-nucleotide ribosomal RNA is filed under the name uncultured bacterium. RNAcentral describes it as "partial 16S ribosomal RNA". It matches the Rfam family "Bacterial small subunit ribosomal RNA", at positions 30 to 526 of the family's 1533-position model. The record is from RNAcentral.
AUUGAACGCUGGCGGCAGGCCUAACACAUGCAAGUCGAGCGAGCGGCGGACGGGUGAGUAAUGUCUGGGAAACUGCCUGAUGGAGGGGGAUAACUACUGGAAACGGUAGCUAAUCCCGAAUAACAUCAGAUAUGCCCAGAUGGGAUUAGCUAGUAGGGGGGGGAAUGGCGCACCUAGGCGACGAUCCGUAGCCGGUGUGAGAGGAUGACCAGCCACACUGGAACUGAGACAAGGUCCAGACUCCUACGGGAGGCAGCAGUGGGGAAUAUUGCACAAUGGGCGCAAGCCUGAUGCAGCCAUGCCGCGUGUGUGAAGAAGGCCUUCGGGUUGUAAAGCACUUUAAGUUGGGAGGCGUUACCAACAGAAUAAGCACCGGCUAACUUCGUGCCAGCAGCCGCGGUAAUUC